AGGACGAACGCUGGCGGCGUGCUUCGACACAUGCAAGUCGAACGGGGCUCAUUCGGUGGUAACACCGGAGAAGGCCUAGUGGCGAACGGGUGCGUAACACGUGAAGAACCUGCCCCGAAGACUGGGAUAACAGCGGGAAACCGCUGCUAAUACCGGAUGACCCCACCAGGCCGCAUGGCCAGGUGAGGAAAUGGGCCUACCGCUUCGGGAGGGCUUCGCGGCCUAUCAGCUUGUUGGUGGGGUAACGGCCUACCAAGGCUACGACGGGUAGCUGGUCUGAGAGGACGACCAGCCACACUGGGACUGAGACACGGCCCAGACUCCUACGGGAGGCAGCAGUGGGGAAUCUUGCGCAAUGGGCGAAAGCCUGACGCAGCAACGCCGCGUGAGGGAUGAAGGUCUUCGGGUUGUAAACCUCUUUCGAGCAGGGACGAUUGUGACGGUACCUGCAGAAGAAGCUCCGGCCAACUACGUGCCAGCAGCCGCGGU
Molecule: ribosomal RNA, 489 nt
Filed under: uncultured bacterium
Lineage: Bacteria
Description: SSU rRNA
Rfam family: Bacterial small subunit ribosomal RNA
Source: RNAcentral